AUUAAUACUUUUUGCAAGUUAAUUAAUUAGAUGCUAUGUGCAGUGAAUGAAAUGAAAGUAAGAGAUGACAAGGCAAUCACAAACACAAAGAUUUUAUAGUGGUUCGGAGCUAACCCUUGCUCCUACGUCCACUCCCCAAGCCUCAUUUGGGAAUUCACUAUAACCCCUCGGAUUACAGCCGGUUGUUUUACAAGCUCACAACCUAACUUGUUGUUUUACGAGGUCACAACGAACUCGGUCGGUUUUUCUAGGCUCACCGACUAGAACCACCCGAUUGUUUUUC
RNAcentral lists this long non-coding RNA (283 nucleotides) under Phoenix dactylifera (date palm). Its description in RNAcentral is "long non-coding RNA (PDAC_LNC011919)". Lineage: Eukaryota; Viridiplantae; Streptophyta; Magnoliopsida; Arecales; Arecaceae. The record is from RNAcentral.